Molecule: long non-coding RNA, 330 nt
Filed under: Homo sapiens (human)
Lineage: Eukaryota; Metazoa; Chordata; Mammalia; Primates; Hominidae
Description: HSALNT0329251
Source: RNAcentral
GGCCAAGUGAGAAACAUGAAGAUUAGAAGUGCAGCACAUGCCUUCUGAAGAAGCCAGGCAUGGAACAGUUCUGGGAACACAGCACUGAUAAAACUCUUAGGGAUGAAUUUACCUAUACCUGUGUUUCAGCCUUGUGAUCUGGGUUUGGCACGAUGAAAUGCUACUUUCAGAAAGAUGAGUAUGUCAGAAUCCCUGGUGAUUUCUAACGCUUAUGGAACACAUCACAUAGGAGCAAUUUAGAUGACAAAAAAGAGCACUCUUCAGUCUGGAUUUACACUGUGUUCCUAUUCACCGACACAUCAGCAAACAUUAUAAAUGCCUUGCCUGAGU